CCUACGGGUGGCAGCAGUGAGGAAUAUUGGUCAAUGGGAGGAAUCCUGAACCAGCCAUGCCGCGUGCAGGACGACGGCUCUACGAGUUGUAAACUGCUUUUGUAGCGGGGUAAAAUGCACUACGAGUAGGGUAUUGAAAGUACGGUACGAAUAAGGAUCGGCUAACUCCGUGACAGCAGCCGCGGUAAUACGGAGGAUCCGAGCGUUAUCCGGAUUGAGUGGGUUUAACGGGUGCGUAGGUUGUUUUAAAAGUGAGCGGUUAAAUACCGAUGCUCAACAGCGGGGCUGCCGCUGAUACUGUCGGACUAGAGUUCGGCUGCAGCAGGCGGAAUGUGUCGUGUAGCGG
Molecule: ribosomal RNA, 346 nt
Filed under: uncultured bacterium
Lineage: Bacteria
Description: partial 16S ribosomal RNA
Rfam family: Bacterial small subunit ribosomal RNA
Source: RNAcentral